AGUGGAUGGGGAGCAACCUAGUUGUGCGUGUGUAAAGGUAGUGCCAAGAAAAGCGAUGAUCAUGUUGAAAAUCAAUUCCCGGUACCCGAAACCGACACAGGUGGGCAGUAGAGAAUACUAAGGGGCGCGAGGUAACUCUCUCCAAGGAACUCGGCAAAAUGACCCCGUAACUUAGGGAGAAGGGGUGCCACCGAGAGGUGGUCGCAGUGAAGAGGCCCAGGCGACUGUUUAGCAAAAACAUAGGUCUCUGCAAACUCGAAAGAGGAGGUAUAGGGGCUGACGCCUGCCCAGUGCCGGAAGGUUAAAGAAGUUGGUCAGUUUUAGGAUGAAGCUAGCGACUGAAGCCCCGGUGAACGGCGGCCGUAACUAUAACGGUCCUAAGGUAGCGAAAUUCCUUGUCGGGUAAGUUCCGACCCGCACGAAAGGCGUAACGAUCUGGGCGCUGUCUCGGAGAGAGGCUCGGCGAAAUAGGAUUGUCUGUGAAGAUACGGACUACCUGCAUUUGGACAGAAAGACCCUAUGAAGCUUUACUAUAGCUUGGAAUUGUGUUCGGGCUUCCUGUGCGCAGGAUAGGUGGGAGGCGUAGAAGGUAUUCUUGUGGGGAUACUGGAGCCAACGGUGAGAUACCACUCUCAGGAGGCUAGAAUUCUAACUUAAUUAAGGACAGUUUCAGGUGGGUAGUUUGACUGGGGCGGUCGCCUCCAAAAAGGUAACGGAGGCGUACAAAGGUUCCCUCAGACUGGUUGGAAAUCAGUCGAAGAGUGCAAAGGCAGAAGGGAGCUUGACUGCGAGAAGUACAGUUCGAGCAGGGUGGAAACACGGUCUUAGUGAUCCGACGGUGCUGUGUGGAAGGGCCGUCGCUCAACGGAUAAAAGUUACUCUAGGAUAACAGGCUGAUCUCCCCCAAGAGUUCACAUCGACGGGGAGGUUUGGCACCUCGAUGUCGGCUCAUCGCAACCUGGGGCGGAAGUACGUCCCAAGGGUUGGGCUGUUCGCCCAUUAAAGCGGUACGUGAGCUGGGUUCAGAACGUCGUGAGACAGUUCGGUCCAUAUCCGAUGUAGGCGUGAGAAUAUUGAGAGGAGCCUUCCUUAGUACGAGAGGACCGGGAAGGACGCACCGCUGGUGUACCUGUUAUGAUGCCAAUUGUAAACGCAGGGUAGCCAAGUGCGGAGAGGAUAACCGCUGAAAGCAUCUAAGUGGGAAGCCCACCUCAAGAUGAGUAUUCUGGUGUAAGGUCACGGGAAGACGACCCGUAAAUAGGCACGAGGUGGAAGUGCAGAGAUGUAUGAAGCCGAAGUGUACUAAUAGACCGUCGGCUU
Molecule: ribosomal RNA, 1320 nt
Filed under: metagenome
Description: bacterial LSU rRNA
Rfam family: Bacterial large subunit ribosomal RNA
Source: RNAcentral